CCUACCCUUGGGUGUGCGGCGUACACGAUAAUUUCCAAGGCUAUCCAUGAAGACUGCAGCGUAGUCUAAAAAGUACUCGAGAUCUUGGGGUCCAGCAUUGGACUAUUUCAAGAGCAAUUUCCAAUCCCCAUUACAAACUUUCGAGAGCUUGAUAAUCAGAUCGAAUAUGCCCUCAGGCUCGGGGAGACUUGACGAAGCAAUAUCCUUGCACCGCAAUAUGAAACGCUGUACGCAUAGAGCUUUCCCCCAAAAAAUCGUGACUCAAAUGCCUCGUUGCAUUCUGGCAGAUAAAUAGAAGGCCUUUUCUGAGCCAGGAGACGAUCUGAAGCCAUUGUAUCAUUCUCCUUUCGCUCGCGAUAGACUUGAGUGCACAGAAUCCCAAUGGGACGGAGGAUUGUCCGUUGAAUAUCCAGGUCCGGUCGGCGAAGGGCCCGCCAAACACGUGCAACUAUUGCGGAUCCAUUGCGGGAAGCUCAGCCUCGUUUCUUGAUAUUUUCAAAUGAGUGCAAGUCACGAAAUCAUUUUUUAUAGACUUCUGUCAAGUCCUGCUAACUUCUGAAUGAA
RNAcentral lists this small RNA (564 nucleotides) under Histoplasma capsulatum var. duboisii H88. Its description in RNAcentral is "Histoplasma capsulatum H88 hypothetical RNA". Lineage: Eukaryota; Fungi; Ascomycota; Eurotiomycetes; Onygenales; Ajellomycetaceae. The record is from RNAcentral.